Molecule: long non-coding RNA, 2724 nt
Organism: Clupea harengus (Atlantic herring)
Lineage: Eukaryota; Metazoa; Chordata; Actinopteri; Clupeiformes; Clupeidae
Source: Ensembl
GUAACUGCUGAGAAGUCAUAUCCUGCGCUUCUCACUUCCUCAAACACUGUGAAGAGAGUGAACGAGUUGCUUGUUCCAGCAGAGAGAGAUGACACUAUGUGUGUCACUGCUGUGCUCCCAUCUGAUCCAGUGAUGGGGGUUUCUGUUUCAUCGCUCGAUUUCAGUAUGUAAGUGUUGAUGUUGUCGACUUUGGUCCACUCUAGCUCUAUGUGAGUCUCAUUGCGGGUUUUCACAAUCACCAGGGCAACAUUAGAGGGAGCUGAAGGGGAGGGGGUGGACAAGACAGAAACACAGACAGAUGGAAGGUCAUAGGAAAAGAGAGAUAUACAUUUAGAAUGCAGACUGCAAGAGGAAUCUGGAAUACAAAUAAAAUAAAUAUUGCCCAGGUUGAAAAAAGGUGCUCUUCAGUGUUUUAAAACUGUGCUAGAAAAUGCAUGUGGUAUAUGUAUACAGUAUAUUUGCAUUUCUUAAAUACUUUUAGUGCUUUAAAGCCCCGUUCGAGAAGAAUUGGUAUUUUUUCUAGUGAGCUCAAUUUUAUUUACACAAAUAUGACUAUUUAAAAAAUAGUUCCAUUUAUUGUGACAUCGGAGAUGAACGCUAACAUAACCAAAGAAUAAGAAAAAAAGACACAUUUUUAUUUAGCUGAAAUACUGCUCGUGUUUUCAGUCCAUUCACAUUGUUUUCCAAGCGUUUGAAUGUAGAGUAUGAGUAAAUCUAAUAAAAUAUUGUUGGCGACAUGCUUAAUAUACAUUAGACAGUGUCAUUUAUUAUGAGCUAGCUGACACAGCAAGUGUUGCGGAGAAAAAAAGCUACUUCCUUGAAAUUUCGCAAUCAAAAAAAGAGACAUACCUGUAACUGCUGAGAACUCAAAUCCUGUGCUUUUCACUCCCUCAAACACCGUGAAGAGAGUGAACAAGUAUUUAGUUCCAGCAGAGAGAGAUGACACUGUGUGUGUCACUGUGUUCCCAUCUGAUCCAGUGAUGGGGGUUUCUGUUCCACCGCUCGGUUUCAGUAUGUAAGUGUUGAUGUUGUUGACUUUGGUCCACUCUAGCUCUAUGUGAGUCUCAUUGCGGGUUUUCACAAUUACCUCGGUAACAUCAGGAGGAGCUGAAGGGGAGGGGGUGGACAAGACAGAAACACAGACAGAUCGAAGGUCAUAGGAAAAGAGAGAUAUACAUUUAGAAUGGAGACUGCAAGAGGAAUGUGGGACAAAAAUGAAAUAAAUUGAUAUUAAAAUAUGAAUUGACCAUUUGAAAAAGGAGAGAUUAUUUAGAUUCAGAGAUCAGAGACAGAAACUGGUCCUCACUUUAUCUCCAAAUAUUAUAUGCCUCCAAUUAUUGGAAUAAAGGGGGGCACUGUGGCGCAAGCAGUAGCCCCAACCACAUUCGGGCUUGAUGCCCAUGGAGGACACGGGUUUGAAUCUGGCCCGAUGUCAGAUCUCCCCCUCUCAUUUCCUGUCCCACUCUUCACUGCACUAUCCAUUAAAGGCAAAAAAGCCCAAAAAUACAUCUUUAAAAAAAUACAAUAUUGAAAUAAAAUCUUUUGAAAGGGAGGCAUUGAAAAUAUUUUUGUUUAUACUAAUUCAAUAAUAAUGUAAAUCAGAGUGUACAAAGAUUUAGGAGGCCCAGUUCUGGACAGAGAUCAUGAGAUUUUUAGGUGACCCACAAUGUCAAACUAAAACCCUGAGUAGAAGGGCUAGAUGGAUGUAAAUACCAAUACAUCUUGCCUUUGUAUGUCAAACAUGUCUACAAAAUUGAUUGAUUGAUUGAUUCAUUAGUGGGAUUUUCCCUCGUCAUCUCAAUGAGAGCCAGAACAUUUUCUAUAGAUGACGUAACUAUAAAUGGAAACUGAUAGUUGGAAUGAGAUUGUGUGGAGUAGGAACUCUUUUGUCCUCACUUCCCUAAGGUUAUUUCUCCUGUUUGAUAAUACAUUUAAUGUAUGUUUGAUGCAUGUGAGGUACAGUACCUCAUUUUAUGGCAUGGCAUUGUGGUUCUAAGUCUGAUCCUGAAAGAAAUAACUACAUUCUACAUGACAGAAAUAUUCAAUUAAAUGUGAGGUGUACAAUUCCGAAUAUAGAGCAUAGAUCUAGUCUAAAUAUUGUGUUUUGUAGUGUGUUCUUAAAAGUAUGUUAACCCAUGUUGGGUAUAUUGUCAUUCAUAAUCUCUGCGCUUAAUUUCAGAAACUGCAAGUUACCAGCAAUUUCAGAGGUGUUGUGUGGGCCUUUGGGUUCUCUGAGAGAACAUUUCUAUGGACAAACAGUCUAACAUCAGGCCACCAGAGAGGGAUAGAAGGCAAAUGAAAAACUCACGAGGUCUUGGUGUAGUAGUUGGUGCAGCAGUAGUUAUUGUGGUUGGAUUUAUAGUUGGUGCGCUUGUUGGUGUAAUAGCAGGACUGGAGGUGGAUUGACACUGAAAGAGGGAUUAUUUAUUAAAUUUUUUGUAAGAAGAGCAUUUACCAUGUGCUACAAACACAUGUUUAUAAUUAUAAUUUAAGAGGCUUAUCCAAAUAAGUUGAAAGAGACUCUAAAAACAUGAAAGAAUAGAAAUCCUUCAGUCAAAACAUGACCUCAAGACCAACUGUAUGCUUUUUACGGCUGCUCAUCUCAACUAGAGCUGCAACGAUUAGUCGACGUAAUCGACGAUGUCGAUUAUGAAAAAUUGUCGACGAUGAUUUUUAUUGUCGACGCGUCAUAAAAUAUAUAUAAACCAAAAAAUAUAUAUAUAU